RNAcentral lists this ribosomal RNA (1372 nucleotides) under uncultured bacterium. Its description in RNAcentral is "bacterial SSU rRNA". It matches the Rfam family "Bacterial small subunit ribosomal RNA", at positions 28 to 1381 of the family's 1533-position model. The record is from RNAcentral.
GAUGAACGCUGGCGGCGUGCCUAAUACAUGCAAGUCGAGCGAACGGACGAGAAGCUUGCUUUUCUGAUGUUAGCGGCGGACGGGUGAGUAACACGUGGAUAACCUACCUAUAAGACUGGGAUAACUUCGGGAAACCGGAGCUAAUACCGGAUAAUAUUUUGAACCGCAUGGUUCAAAAGUGAAAGACGGUCUUGCUGUCACUUAUAGAUGGAUCCGCGCUGCAUUAGCUAGUUGGUAAGGUAACGGCUUACCAAGGCAACGAUGCAUAGCCGACCUGAGAGGGUGAUCGGCCACACUGGAACUGAGACACGGUCCAGACUCCUACGGGAGGCAGCAGUAGGGAAUCUUCCGCAAUGGGCGAAAGCCUGACGGAGCAACGCCGCGUGAGUGAUGAAGGUCUUCGGAUCGUAAAACUCUGUUAUUAGGGAAGAACAUAUGUGUAAGUAACUGUGCACAUCUUGACGGUACCUAAUCAGAAAGCCACGGCUAACUACGCGCCAGCAGCCGCGGUAAUACGUAGGUGGCAAGCGUUAUCCGGAAUUAUUGGGCGUAAAGCGCGCGUAGGCGGUUUUUUAAGUCUGAUGUGAAAGCCCACGGCUCAACCGUGGAGGGUCAUUGGAAACUGGAAAACUUGAGUGCAGAAGAGGAAAGUGGAAUUCCAUGUGUAGCGGUGAAAUGCGCAGAGAUGUGGAGGAACACCAGUGGCGAAGGCGACUUUCUGGUCUGUAACUGACGCUGAUGUGCGAAAGCGUGGGGAUCAAACAGGAUUAGAUACCCUGGUAGUCCACGCCGUAAACGAUGAGUGCUAAGUGUUAGGGGGUUUCCGCCCCUUAGUGCUGCAGCUAACGCAUUAAGCACUCCGCCUGGGGAGUACGACCGCAAGGUUGAAACUCAAAGGAAUUGACGGGGGCCCGCACAAGCGGUGGAGCAUGUGGUUUAAUUCGAAGCAGCGCGAAGAACCUUACCAAAUCUUGACAUCCUUUGACAACUCUAGAGAUAGAGCCUUCCCCUUCGGGGGACAAAGUGACAGGUGGUGCAUGGUUGUCGUCAGCUCGUGUCGUGAGAUGUUGGGUUAAGUCCCGCAACGAGCGCAACCCUUAAGCUUAGUUGCCAUCAUUAAGUUGGGCACUCUAAGUUGACUGCCGGUGACAAACCGGAGGAAGGUGGGGAUGACGUCAAAUCAUCAUGCCCCUUAUGAUUUGGGCUACACACGUGCUACAAUGGACAAUACAAAGGGCAGCGAAACCGCGAGGUCAAGCAAAUCCCAUAAAGUUGUUCUCAGUUCGGAUUGUAGUCUGCAACUCGACUACAUGAAGCUGGAAUCGCUAGUAAUCGUAGAUCAGCAUGCUACGGUGAAUACGUUCCCGGGUCU